RNAcentral lists this ribosomal RNA (468 nucleotides) under uncultured bacterium. RNAcentral's name for it is "partial 16S ribosomal RNA". It matches the Rfam family "Bacterial small subunit ribosomal RNA", at positions 28 to 507 of the family's 1533-position model. The record is from RNAcentral.
GACGAACGCUGGCGGCGUGCUUAACACAUGCAAGUCGACCGGAAAGGCCCUGCUUUUGUGGGGUGCUCGAGUGGCGAACGGGUGAGUAACACGUGAGUAACCUGCCCUUGACUUUGGUAUAACUUCAGGAAACUGGGGCUAAUACCGGAUAGGAGCUCCUGCUGCAUGGUGGGGGUUGGAAAGUUUCGGCGGUUGGGGAUGGACUCGCGGCUUAUCAGCUUGUUGGUGGGGUAGUGGCUUACCAAGGCUUUGACGGGUAGCCGGCCUGAGAGGGUGACCGGCCACAUUGGGACUGAGAUACGGCCCAGACUCCUACGGGAGGCAGCAGUGGGGAAUAUUGCACAAUGGGCGGAAGCCUGAUGCAGCAACGCCGCGUGCGGGAUGACGGCCUUCGGGUUGUAAACCGCUUUCGCCUGUGACGAAGCGUGAGUGACGGUAAUGGGUAAAGAAGCACCGGCUAACUACGUG